Unclassified non-coding RNA from Panthera pardus (leopard), 100 nucleotides. Lineage: Eukaryota; Metazoa; Chordata; Mammalia; Carnivora; Felidae. The record is from Ensembl.
GAUUCAGAAUCUAUUUCUAGAAGAGGUAAGAACUCUAGAACCAAAAGGGACCACCUCUCCCCACCGUGCGUAGGUCCCCCUUCUGAAAUUACCAUUCAGG